UCCCUGGUGGUCCAGUGGCUAAGACUCCAUGCUCCCAGCGCAAGGAGCCCAGGUUCAAUCCCUGGUCAGGGAA
This is a non-coding RNA of Bos taurus (domestic cattle), 73 nucleotides long. The record is from Rfam. Lineage: Eukaryota; Metazoa; Chordata; Mammalia; Artiodactyla; Bovidae.